GUAGGGAAUAUUGCGCAAUGGAGGCAACUCUGACGCAGCCAUGCCGCGUGCAGGAAGAAGGCGCUACGCGUUGUAAACUGCUUUUAACCGGGAAGAAACCCCAGGACGUGUCCUGGGUUGACGGUACCGGAGGAAUAAGCACCGGCUAACUUCGUGCCAGCAGCCGCGGUAAUACGAAGGGUGCAAGCGUUAUCCGCAUUCAUUGGGUUUAAAGGGUGCGUAGGCGGAGCGUUAAGUCAGUGGUGAAAUCCUGCAGCUUAACUGUAGACUUGCCAUUGAUACUGGCGCUCUUGAGUGCGCUUGAAGUGGGCGGAAUGUGCCGUGUAGCGGUGAAAUGCGUAGAUAUGGCACAGAACACCAAUUGCGAAGGCAGCUCACUAAGGCGAUACUGACGCUGAGGCACGAAAGCGUGGGGAUCGAACAGGAUUAGAUACCCUGGUAGUCC
Molecule: ribosomal RNA, 445 nt
Filed under: uncultured bacterium
Lineage: Bacteria
Description: partial 16S ribosomal RNA
Rfam family: Bacterial small subunit ribosomal RNA
Source: RNAcentral